This 122-nucleotide small nuclear RNA is filed under the name Marchantia polymorpha subsp. ruderalis. RNAcentral describes it as "U4 spliceosomal RNA". It matches the Rfam family "U4 spliceosomal RNA". From Rfam's summary of the family: U4 small nuclear RNA (U4 snRNA) is a component of the major U2-dependent spliceosome. The structure of U4 snRNA from yeast and human has been reported. Lineage: Eukaryota; Viridiplantae; Streptophyta; Marchantiopsida; Marchantiales; Marchantiaceae. The record is from Rfam by way of RNAcentral.
AUCUUUGCGGUUGGGGCAAUCACGUAGUUAGUGAGGUGAAACCCAGACGCGUCAAUUGCCGGUUGAAACCUAUUUCCAAAACUAGAAAAAUAUAUACAAAUGAAGAAUAAACUAGAAUUAGU